AGAGUUUGAUCAUGGCUCAGGAUGAACGCUGGCGGCGUGCCUAACACAUGCAAGUCGAACGGAGUUUAUAUUAUGAAGUCUUCGGAUGAAUUGAUAUAAACUUAGUGGCGGACGGGUGAGUAACGCGUGGGUAACCUGCCUCAUACAGGGGGAUAACAGCCGGAAACGGUUGCUAAAACCGCAUAAGCGCACAGCAGCGCAUGCUGCAGUGUGAAAAUAUUUUAUAGGUAUGAGAUGGGCCCGCGUCUGAUUAGCUAGUUGGUGAGGUAACUGCUCACCAAGGCGACGAUCAGUAGCCGGCUUGAGAGAGCGACCGGCCACAUUGGGACUGAGACACGGCCCAAACUCCUACGGGAGGCAGCAGUGGGGAAUAUUGCACAAUGGGGGAAACCUUGAUGCAGCGACGCCGCGUGAGUGAAGAAGUAUUUCGGUACGUAAAGCUCUAUCAGCAGGGAAGAAAAUGACGGUACCUGACUAAGAAGCCCCGGCUAACUACGUGCCAGCAGCCGCGGUAAU
Molecule: ribosomal RNA, 516 nt
Filed under: uncultured bacterium
Lineage: Bacteria
Description: bacterial SSU rRNA
Rfam family: Bacterial small subunit ribosomal RNA
Source: RNAcentral